Molecule: long non-coding RNA, 14001 nt
Filed under: Gallus gallus (chicken)
Lineage: Eukaryota; Metazoa; Chordata; Aves; Galliformes; Phasianidae
Description: lncRNA (ENSGALG00010025251.1)
Source: RNAcentral
CCCCUUCCCCCCGCGAACCGAGCAGCAGAGGGAAAACGGCCCCACUGAAGUGGCGGACAGGAGGCUCUCGACAGAUUCUCAACGAAUUUCGCCUCCUCGCAGCCCCCCCCUUAUCAUUUUUCCACCCAAAACCCCUCGCACCCCCCUCGGAACCCGGAGGCAGCGGGGGAAGCACCGCCACGGGAACGCGGCGGCAGCACCGACGGCUGUGGCCCCGCUCCGCUCCGCUCCGCGCCCGGGCUGCGCUCUGCCCCGCACCGCUCCGCGGGCGGCACCGGGGCGUCCCUCGGGCUCCGCUCCGUCUGCCGGAGACGUUUCCCAUUUCUCCUCACAAAAACCCAUUUUUCCGUUCUGCUCCCCCGAACGCCCAUACUUAUUGCACAGAAUUCAUAUAUUGAACAGAAAAGCCCUCCGCGAGUUUUCUUUGUUUAAUUGUCCCCGAGGUGCGCAGCCCGCACUGCACAUAACGGCCACGGGAGAUCCGUGCGGGGCGGCGCGGGGGGAGCGGCGGCAUUUGGGGUUCGGGCCGGGUGGGAAACAGCACCGCUGCGGCACUGCGUGGGGAUCACCGCGGUUCUGUGGUUCAGGAGAGAAAGAAUAAUAGACGUUCCCGAAGUGGAGGUGGGGGGAGCGCCUGUUUGGUUCGCUGCUUUUCGGAGGUCACAACGAGCAUUUUUGUUUUACUACAGAAAACGGAAAACCCGACACUGAAUGAUUUUCUGAUGCCGUUCUUUGGGGGGGAGAGGAGGGGGAGAAGAGGGGAGGGCUGCGGUUGGGGUGCGGCACGGAGCGGAGCUUCCAGAAAACGCCUCACAUACCGCCCCCCCCCCCCCCCCCCCCCUUCUUUUUUAUUUAUUUAUUUUAUUUAUUGCUGUAUUUUCCUUCUGACGGAAGCAGGAGGGGAAUUGGGUGCAAAGCGGAUGAAAUGCGUCAAAAAGAGCCGUCGCCGCAGCGGGGCUGCGCUCCACGGGGGUCUCUCGGCCGCCGCUGCCCUCCGGGCCCGACCCCAACGGGGAUCGCACUGCGCCGGCCGGGAAUUAACACAAAUCAGCGCACAAAUAGGUCGAGAAACAAAGAAAAAACAAAACCAAACCAAAAUAAAACGGAGCCAUCAGAGCGCGCAGAUGAACACCUCGGGGUUCAUGCAAUGAUUUUUUUUCUUUUUUAAAUUUCGUUAUUAUUAUUAUUAUUAUUAUUUCUUAUUUAGCCAACGAUAAAUUCAUUGCAAAAGACGCGAAGGAGAUCGAUGUUGGGGGCCGCAGAGGGCGUCAGGGAGGAAACAACGAAUAUUCGCCCAAAUCGCGGCGUGCUGCGGAGGCAUUGGGGCAUUUCCCCCCUCCUCCCCAUCUCUCGCCCCGCAGAGCCCCGGCCCUGCACCGCUGAGGGCCCGCGCGGUGCGGAUCUGAGGGGUGCGUCGGGCUCGGGAGACAUAUUUAGAAGCACCAUUAAGAUAAUGAUGAUAAUCAUCAUUAAAAACACCGGAAAACGUCCACGGAGCCUAAAGAGGACCCCGGUCCGGUGCGGGACAAACGUGUCCCCAGGCAGCGCCAGCCGGGGGAGGGUGCUUCUGGGCGGGGGCGCGGGGCUUUGUGCUGCUGCUGGAUACGGCGGUACCCCCACACAAACCCUCACAGCCCCGGCAUACACGUGCCGAGACACGGAGAUAAACGGGAGGGUGAGGGACGCCGGCGGGCUCAGCGCUGCGGGCAUCCGAGGGGUGCGGGACACCGGGGCUCUUCCUCGACUCCCAAAUUCCCCCCCGCUUCUGGGGCAUCGCUGAGCCCCCCCCCGCCCAGGGGGACCGCCGUGGGGACCGCACCCCGGGCAGCCCCGAUUGCUGCCCCGCGUCCGAAGGUGGGAGAAGGAGAUUUUGUUCGGCGGCGCCUGGAAAUAAAAAUCGCCCCGAACUUCUGCCGGCGGCUGAAAAUGGGGAUAGAACGCAGCGAAAGGAGGGGAAAUAAAAAGAGAAAAAGGAAGGAAAAGGAGGAGAGAGGCAGAGGAAGAGAAGAAAAAGAGAGCCUGAAAAUCACCAUCUUCAUCAUCAUCUUGUGGGAUAUAUUUUUAUUCUCUUCUCUCAUACAUUGACUCUAUCCUACCAUUACAAGCCCCCAGCCCAGCAAAGAUCCCAGUGAAAGUGUCCACACAGUACCUUGCAGUGCUCCCUGUGCACCAAAGCAGCAUUUCUGCUCUUCUCCCAGCUUCAUUGACAAGCAGGAGGCAGCCACCUGCUCCACAUCUCAGAGCCACUCUUUUAAGCAUAUUUAUGACUUUUCAGUUAUUUAUAACUUGGUUUAGACCUCUGCAAGUGCAUUCUGGAAUAUUCAUUUCUAAGGGGAACCCUAAGCAGGCACAAAACCCUUAAACUUCGAAGAGAAGACAGCAGUUCAUAACCUCAAAGUGUUACUAUUAAAAAGACAGUUCUCAUAGUAAACCUUCUGGCACCAUAACAGUAUCUUCUUUUAAUAGAAAAGCACUUCUUAAGCAAUUUAGCUAAUUUGAUUCAUUAAAAAAAAGAGAGGAAAAAAAAGAAAAAUUUGGAGAGCAUAAAAUCUCAGAAAAAAAAAGCCAGCAGGGAAGGUAAAUGUGUGAUUAGCUCCCCCUGCACACACGUAAAUUAAGGCUGGGAUAAAUUAGCAGUAAGACUGAAAGUUAUUGCCACUUCUGGAGCACCUGAGAACAGAGCGCUGCGAGCUUGGGAAAGGUGAGGAUGUGCCAAGUGAGCGCAGGACCGACACUCAGGAAAUCUGCUCCUGUGCUCAAAUGCUCCAUCUUAGGAUUAAUGUGUUAAUUAAAUGUGUAUUGAUGUUGGCUCUGGAUAGAAGCUGUGUCAGGCUGGGUGUGAGGGAAAAAUUCUGUCCCAGAGGGCGGUGGGCAUGGCACAGCGAGUACUGGGACACAGCUCUCAGCCAUAGUGUUUGGGUGGUCAUAUGUGGAGCAGGGGGUUGGACUCCAUGGUCCUUGUGAGUUUCUCCUGUCUUGGGACAUUUUGUGGUUCCAUGAUUCUAAGACCCGCAGGACUUGUUUCCCUCCCACAGCCACUUUCUCAUCCCAGGUGUCACUCACAACAUCCCUGUUCCCAACCUGAGGGGCACUGCUAAGGCAGACAGGUGGAGGACAACAUGAAUUGACUCUCUAACAGGCAAUCACAGAGGGGUCUGAAGCUGCCAGAUCUGACAAAUGGACAUUAAAAUAUCCUUACCUUCCUUCAUUUCUCCAGAUUGACUCAGACUGGGACUCUGUUCAAGGACUCCUGCUCACUGUGACUUUGCAAGUCCCUCUGUCCCAGACAAGCCAUAGGAGAAGCACCUGCUCUUGCCCUGAGUAAAACGUAGUGUUGGUUCAGACCGUCACCCAUGGUUCCUCGUUUCUGUUUAUACUCAUCAGUAAAUCUUUUUGAGGAAAGUCAACCUUUAAAAUAUUUUUCCAUUAACACUCCCCAUAGAAAGCAACCCAGAAGAAAAAUUAAAUGGUCACUGUGAAACCAUCUCUGAAAGCAAGCAAACGGAGGUUGUCAGAGGUGAUGGCAACCCAAAAAGGAGCAAUGCUUUGGGAAGAAACUUCUGGAAGGCCCAGCUGCGAGCAAGCCAGAGCUCCAAACAAGUCAUGCGUGCUCCUGGAGCUCAGGUGGUGCCCUUAGAGGUGUCCGUGGAGCUGUCACUGGUGCUGAAAGAAGGGAAAUGAGCCAAUAAUUGGGUAAUCAGCGGCCUCUUACUUUUUAAAUGAACCUGUAGGAUUUCCCCCGGCACCCUCCCUCUCCUGUCCUCGAGCUCAUCUUUCACUCUGUCAUGCAAUUCCCCGCUGGCCAGCCACAGCCUGCCGCGCUCCCUUCCCAUUACACACAUGGCUGAGCCGGGGACGAAAGGGCUCCCAGAUUCCAGCGAGAAGGUAAUUAAUUGACUUUCCACUCUCGUUGCUAUGCGGCAAAGGUGGAAGCCGCAGCAGCCACAGUUCAUUUCUAAUCCUGGAAGAUUACUCGCAAAUGGCAUAAUUAUGGAGACAGUCAGCUGCCCGCAAUGGGGAUGCCGACUCAAUAUUGGGGUGCUUGAGGGACAAGGGAGGAUGCAGUGAGGAACCAGGAGCCACGGUGACACAUGUCCCGCUAACCCAUCAGCCAGGUGCUUGUAUCAGGGACACCAGCACUUCCCAAGGCGGUGGGUAAACCCAGAGGGAUUCUCACUCUGCCCAACUACAGUGGGUAUGGUUGCCUGCAUCACAACAGUUCAUUCACGGGCAUGCCUGGACAAGCUGCCUAAAGCAAAGCAAUAGCACAUGCUACCAACAUUUCUUAAGAGGUCAUUUCUCAGCUCAAAACAUCAAAAAGUAUUCUCUGUAGUAGUGAUGGGACAGCUCAAGAUGUUCAAAUCUCAUUUCUAGACUCGCACUGAAAACAAAUCUCCCCAGCAGCAGUGGUGGAUGACUGUACAAAAAUAAACCAAUUUUGGUGCUGAAAAAACUAUUAACCCAGGGAAUGUUUUCCUACUGAGCUUUGUAAACUUUACAGUAAAUCUGAGUAAGAGGGCAACUGUUUCAGAAACUACAAAAGAACAUCCUAUUUGAGAGCUAUGCCUUUCUCUAACGAUUUGUGACUUCGUUUUGCAAACAUCUUCACAACUCUUUUGUAAUGGUGACAAGCACAUCUGUGGUUCCCAGUCCUCCCCAUUCACUGUGCAUCUGGGGCUGCCCCCAUACUGCCAUUAAAGCCCUUUAAGCAUAAUAAUUACUGCCCAGAUUUAAAGAGGUUUGAUAAGGAAGGUUUCUUAUGGAGGCAAGGCAGGUGCCAGCAGACCCAGUGGUCUCUCAACAGUGCAGGGAGAGCAUGUCUCACUGGGACAGAUGGGUCUCAACACCUAAAGACCAUGUGGGUACAUCCACCCACAUAAGAGCCUCUCCCUGUGCUGGAACUCAGGGAAUUCACAGGAUUCCUGCAGCAAUCAGCCACUGCUUGCUGACUUCUCACUUCCCUGCAGCAUGAUGCCUGUAGCCCGCCAGGGCCCGAUGCGCUAUUUGCCUGAGAAGGUCAGAGGCAGAGCAAAUAUUUGCACUUCUUGCAUCUCAUUCAGGGCUUUAUAAGAAUUAAAGUUGUAUCUUAUGAACAAAAUCUGUAUUUCUUUCCCUCUCUCUUUUUUUUUUUUUUUUCUUUUCCCAGUUCCUUGUUAUUCUUGGGUAGUUUCUUUUGAUUUUCAAUGAGCAACAAAUUCAUUUUGCCAGUGUGAGAACACACAUAAACCCAAAAUUUGCCAGGCUCCAACUCUAUCUCCCAGUGACAGCACUAAAAAGCAUCAUUUUAACUUCAUAUUUCCAAGUGUCAGCAUCAGCCUAAGAUUUUAGUCCUGCACGUAGCCUGUACAGCCUGAAUACAAGCCAGCCUGUUUCAAAAGAUGACACAGCUGCCCAUGGAGCAGGUGGGCACACCAAGGCUUCACCAGCCAUAGAAGCACAUGGCUGGAGUCAGGAGCCAUCCACCACAAUCCCAGCAGAUGACAGCACAGGCACUGCAUGCACAGAGCUGUGAGAUCUCGGCCACUGCCGUGCCCCAGCGCCAGGAGCAGAAGCACGCAGCCCCAGGUGUUGGCCGGCAGCACACAGCCAGGUCAGGGCAGAGUCAUUUCCACCUCCCUGAAAUCUUUACAGAGCCUAAAAUCAACACCUUCCACUAUUCCCUGAGCAGUGUGAAUGACCUUAUUCACCCCGAUGUGGUGUUUACUCUGAGUCCUAAUGAAGGUGACUUGCUAACAGCUGUUUCUCUGUGAUCCUCACAGCCCACGUGGCUGCACAACUAGUGCUAGGCAGCAGUGAGGUGUGCAGCAGUAACAGAAUCCCAUUAAGCUAUUUUCAGAUGUUCCCAUCUGCCCUCUGCAUCACCACAGACGAGGGAUUUCUGCUUGCGUCGUCAACAGCAUUAAAUAUAUUUACCUUCAUAAUAGCUGUGCUUCCCUCUGCUCCCCCCCAGCAGUUAGCCGUCAGAAAUGGGAAUGCAGCUCCGAGGUGGGCUCUGGAGAGGCACUGAGUAAAAUCCAAAGCUGUGUUUUACUGCAUUUAACACCUCACACCAAUUUCAUCAGCUUUGAAUUUACAACCCACUAUAACGUGAGGUUGUGAAGUGGGCACACACUCUGCUGCAGAGCACUGUGCUUUGGAAGAAACAACUUUAUUGCCCAAGCUGUAAUGAAAUGGGUUGUCCUUUAAAAGGGGAAGUUCACAAAACGUAUGGGUAUGCCCUCUACCAACAAGAAACUGAUAUAUACAUAUAUAGGCUAGAACAGACUCCUUUUCACUUUUCCCCAGGGAAAGAGUUGUUCCUCUGUCCUGUGGGUUCCUUCUGGGGCACUGAUCUGCUGCUGGGUAGGAGCUGCAGCCACUCAUUCACAUCCAUCCACGUGGACCCUGGUGGCUCUUAGUUCAGAGAAUCCUAUCACUCUUCUGGGGCCAAUUACACAGAGCAGCAAGCUGACGCUCACACCUUCCAGAGCUGUGGAGCUGAGCAGAUUCAGAGCACCAAACCUAAGACAUUUUGCUGUGCUGCUGAUAUGCUGCAUGGGCAUUGUGGGGCUGGAGAGCCGAACACUCCGCAUACACAGAGCAGGGGGUGUGAUGAUGUAAGAUAGCAAGCCCAAAGCAGCAGGAGGCAAUGAGGAAUUAUUCCUCGCCUUAUCUCCUCUGCUCAGCACACGUCACUGCUCCUGCCAUUCCCAACACACGUCCCCAAGGACGCAUCUGCCAGCACUGCCACCUGAUAAGGGACGCUCCGCCACGUACCCUUGUACAGCUCUUUUCUUUACAUGCUUUGCACAGCCACGGCAGUUCUUCUGCAUUCCUUAGAUCUAAGGAGAUUUGGAAGGAAGCACAUGCAAAUUAAUUCUAAUUAAAAUGCACAUGCUGGCUGGCGGUGUCACGGCACAAAGGAGGCCAGGCACAGAGUCCUGAUAUUUGCACGCUACAAUGUAAAGUGCAAGGUUAUGCUGAAUGCCACGUGGUGUUCAAUGGGAAGCAAUGCUACAGUUAGCCCAGAAGAAAAUUCGUCUGCACAUAGAAUCAAACCUCUUUCCCUCCCUGUCUCCUCCUACCCUAUAUUUUAACACCAGGAAUGAUUUUGUAUGAAGGCACCUGGAGAUGCUCCCUGCAGAGCAGCUGGGAGCUGCUGCUUUCCUGCCCUACCUGCAGCAUGCACUCGGCUUGAACUGCAGUCUCUGGCUUCCUCCCAUAACGGUGUUAUGUUGUAAAUAAGAAGCAGAGCAUUCAGAGGCAUUAUAGCCUCUUCCUCUGCACACUCUACAGCCAGAGUGAGCUCUGUCACCACUGACUCAAACCACAAAACCAAAAAAGCAAAGUGAGAAAAGAGGGACAGUUAUUUACAACUACACUAUACUAAAGGUAUACCCUGUGCACAUACAGGCACCGAAAUAUUUACCUACUCACCCAAGGUCAUUAGGAAUAAGCUUAAAAAAGGCCCUGCAAUGGGGGCCUGGUACAGAAGUCCCACCCAGCCCAGGGUGAAGCCGUGACACUGAGAAGAGCUGGAGCUGCAGGUCUCAGUCAGAAGCCCACAGCCAGGGGAGGGCCCACCAUGGCACGGGGAGCAUUGUCUGCCCUUCAGAAAUCCCUUCGUUGGAAAUAGACUAAAAGCAAGUUCUAGGCAUCAAGCUGGAAAAAAAAGAAAUAAAAAGAAAAGGAAAAGCUCAGAAUAGGAUAAAUAAAAUGCAUCAAUUAACUCUAUUUGAGGGUAAGAAAAAGUCACUAUCAUCCAGUUUAAAAACAAGAACAGUAAAAAACCUUUUUUUCCCCCCGUGCCUCAACGUGUCUAUACAAAAAAAAAAAAAAAAAAAGGAAUACUAAACCUUAUUUUCUUCACAGGUUUUUAUUUGUGUUAUAUCACUGUGCCCUCAGCACUGCUUUCCAGUCACCUCAACCUCAUCCCACCACAAGAGAUGGGAGAAUUUCUGUAGCUUUCAGUGGGAGUUGGAUCAGCUCCAUGAGGAAUUUCAGACCUCCUCUUUUUUUUUUUUCCCUGUGUUUAAGAAUUGGCUUAUUUUCCAGCCUGCUAAUGUUUUCAAUUACGUGAAGCUCAAUUCAAUAUCUCUACCUGAUUGGGAGACAGCAGGAGUUGGCUUUUUGUGUUCCAUGACCUAGAGCUGACUCCAUUUGCUGCCUAUCUGACUAACUAGUGAAGCAGAAAAUGCACACAAUACAGCACAAUUAAUGACAGAGGCUGAAAAACACACCAGAUCCCAGCGGAGAGGAAGAAAUUAGGCUCCUGCACGGUGACGGAGUUUGUUGAUGAUGUUUUCCUAUUUAUAACAUUUUAAGGGGGGGGGUGGAAAAUCCUAUUUUAUUUCUUGUCUAAAAUUGGCUUAAUUUUUUUUUUAAAUUGAGGACGAUGAUAUUAAAAUCCACACCAGCUGCGUGGCACCACAGAGUGCCAAGGGGGGAGCAAUCUGUCUCUUCUGGCAAAUACAGCAGAGUAUUUAAAUCUACGUGAAGAAAACUAAAAUAACGAUCAUUUGCAAAUGAUGGACCGUACUAUUACGUUGAUAUACUACCCAUAAACAGGAUGUUAUUGUGAAGAUAUAUAAAAGCAACAUCACCGUUUGAUCCCUCUUUUUGUCCAUUCAACUAAAGGGCAAGCAGUGCCCUGCAUCGUGGUGCAGGUGUGACCCCAGCCUUGUCUCCAUGAAGACAUUGGCACUGCAGUGCAAUCACUGCUUUCACUGAGGCCACAAACGAGAUGGUGUUUCCCUGUUGGGUCUUAACUUAGACCCAACUUGGGUCUCUUAACUUGAGUCUCUUACAUACAGAGCAACUUUAGACAGAUCCAGCACUGGGAGCACAAGCUGAGUUUGUGUGAUAAAGUGGGCAGAGCCCAAGUUGUCCCAACAACAGGGAAUAAGUGGAAAGAGAAAGUAUGUGGAGGCAUCUCAGUACAUCACCUUUGUAAAUCAGGAAUGUUGUGUUGAUGUCCCUACUUGCUUUGUCCUACUGCUUAGGGCUACAUAUAUAUUUAUUUACUUUUAUGAAGAGCAAAUCCUUCUGCAGAUGCCAGCAGAACGUAAACAGUCCUUACCAGUGCUUUUUAAACACAUUCAAAUAGUCACUCUUUACAGUCAAUGAAACUUACACUGGAGAGCAGCCACUCCUUUCCCCGUCUCCUGGCCAGGUUCUCAGCUGGGCCGCCCCGUGCUCUGCCACUGUGGGACCUCAAGCACAGCAUGCACCCAUAGAGGUUGGGCUCUGGGGGCUGCAGCAGCCUCUCUGCCUGGGUUCAGGGUGAGGAGAGUGAAUAUUUCUCUGCAGCAUCAUCUGUUUAUUGAAUCACAAAGGUUGGAAAAGACUUCUAAUAUCACCAAGUCCAACCCCAGCCCACCCCACCAUGCCCAACAACCACAUCCCUCAGUGCCACAAAUCCACAGUUUUCAAACACUUCCAGGGAUGGUGACCCCACCACUCCCUGGGCAGCCUGUGGCCACUUUCAGAGAAGAAAUUCUUCCUAAUAUCCAACCUGAACCUCCUCUGGCACAACUUAAGGCCAUUCCUUCUUAUCCUAUGCUGUUACCAGGGAGAAGAGGUCAGCCCCCACCUCACCACAACCUCCUUUCAGGCAGUUGCAGACAGCAAUAAGGUCUCCCCUGAGCUCCUCUUCUCCAGACUGAACCAACUCAGUGCCCUCAGCCACUCCCCAUAGGACUUGAGCCACUCCAGACCCUUCUUUGAACACACUCCAGAACCUCAGAGUCUCUCUUUGAGGAGCCCAAAAUUGAGCACAGUACUCAAGGUGCAUUUAUUAUCCCAAAGGACAGUAAAGUAUUUGCAGAAUCUUUUAAAGAUGUUAUUUUCUAAAAGGGAAAAGCCAUUAAAAAACAUACUCAUGGCUAAGCUGUACACAGCCAGGAUCCUGCGCAGUACUGGCUUAUUGAGUGACAGCCAAGCAGCCUCCUAUAUGAGCACACCAGCACAUUGCCUGCUGGAUUUCACAAGGGGUGCCAAGCAAAGUCCAGCAUAACCUUCUUGCUAAGAAAAUACACAGGUAUUCAAAGAGCUUCAUGACUAUUGCAAAAUGGGGUACACAGGCAACCAAAGGCAUCAGAGAUGAGUUCAUGCCUACUCUCAAUUUAGUAUCUCUAAGCAAAUCCAGAAUGCAGCUUUCCAACCAACACUGCUUUUCCUCAUGUCUCCUACACAUGGAAAGACUAAUAUAUUUUAUUAUCAAUUGCUAAUACAGUAAACCAAUAUUCCUUUUAGUUCCAAAAAAUUGAUAAAUAAACAAACCAGAAUUUCCAUUUCCCACACAGACCAUAACUGCUUUUCUGCACUUUUGGGCUGUUUAUUAGUGAGAACUCUCACUGGAUCUAAGUGGCAAUAAAAGGCCUUGAGAGAGCUUGCAAAUGGAUUCUAAAUUGAUGUUUAAAAGCCUUUUUUUCCUUCCCUAAAUGGGAGAGUCUAAUGAGUUUUAAUACCUCAGGUUAGCUCCUUCAGUAAAAAGGAUGCUUCUAUCAGUACCAAGUCAUCUGGUUUGCAGGCUGGUUUCCUCUAUCCAUGCAAGUCCUGACCAAAAAACAUUUGAUUAAGGCUGUUUUAUCAUUCAAGAAAUUACACGGAGUACUGCAGGUUCGCUCCAUCAACUAGGACAGGGAAAGAGAAGAAACGUGUGGGACAGAGGCCAUGAUUUGGGCAUGAUGCUGGCACUCUGAAACACAACAGUUCUCAUGUGCUCAGAGUAGGAUGCUAAAACACAACAAAAGCAGCCUAGGAGCCAUGAAGAGAUCAGCUGCAUCAUGCUCCACACCGAAACCAAGAAUAAUAUUUCAGGUUUCAACAUGCAGCUUGGGGUUUUACCUGAGCACUGUUGUAUCUACCCACAGCCCAGGCUUGUAAAUCUCACAUUAAUAUCCAGCUCAGUUAAAAUUCUGCUGUAAAUUCUUCCAAUAAACCUCACUACAUGAGGGAGCACUGCAGACAGGCAAUGCCAGAGGAGAGCUCCUAAUUCUCACCAAACAUUUAAAGCCUGGCAGUGCCCAGCCAUCCUCCGGCCACGGGACAGUAAUGUCCCACAGCAAGUCCCCAACCUGGAGAGUUGUUCUUCCUCAUCCUCAGCCAAAUGCCUUCACAGAAAAGACAAGAGGAAUCGUCACAGCCUCAUCACCUUCCUGGGGAGGGAACCUGGGAUGUGACACAAAGAAAAUGAGGAUCCUUCAGAGAGAGAAUGUGACAUUCCCUUAAAGGAUCCUCACACACUGGAACAUUGGCUUUGGGGUCCAGACACUUAAUGGCUGCUGAUGGAGCCCAGGAGUCGCCAAGAGCCCUGCAAAGGGCACUGGAACUCUCCUUGGCCAGACAGGGCUGAGCAAACCUCGUCUGUCCAAAGCAUCCAAGUCCUGACACUGCCCCAGGUCAGCGUCACUGCGCCACUGUCUCCAUUUUGCUCUGUGGUGAUGUCCAAAGGACCACACGUGGCAGCAACAAGCUGCAGAGGAGCGAUGUGGCACAGCCGGCAGAUGCUCACCUCUUGACACCUCAAGGCCACAAUGCCUUCACCUGGGGAUGAGGCCACAGACUGGGUGCCAGCCCCAUCCCAGCAUGGUCUCACAGGGCAAACAGGUGUUGUGGGAGUGAAAGCCAAAAAGAGAAGCCUCAGGAGUGAGAUUUAUUGCUGGGCUAAUGAUAUCCUUCCCUUCCCAAUGACCUCGUCGAAGAAAGAAAGAGCUGAGUGGCUUUAUCUUUAUUCAGCACCGUGGUCCUUCUGGGACACUUGACCAUGAUUGCAUCGUUUACAGUGUCAGACUUGAUAACGCAUUGGCUGUGGCUGUGCAUGGCAGAGAACUCCCCCGGCAGCCAGGCUGGUUAAUGGGAACCGACGGGUCCUGCGGCCGCCUGCGCAUUCCCCCGCUUCCUGCUGCAGCACAUUAACGCCACAAAUUAACAUUGUAAUUGCCUUUUAACUAUUUAUCACUGUGGAGAAGCGAGAGAGGGGGAAAAAAAAAAUAGAGACCGACCACAGGCAGGGACCCAGGAGAGAGCUUAGGCGGGCAGGUCUCUGUCUGCACCUCCCUGUAUUCCUAUUUAUAGCUGGCCAUUAAGCUAUGCUAAUAAACAGCCAACCACGGGGUAUGGCAAACCCCUUGCUUAGGGACAGGAGGACAGCGAGUCAAAUAUGUGCAGUGUGCUUAACUCACAGGAGCAGGGCACGACUGCUGCCAAAACCACAGGGAUCAAACAGCAACCUCUGCAGCCUUCAGUUAGGUCCACUGCAGCGUCAUCACACGAGCGCGUACGUUUGGCACAUAAUCCCAGCAAAUGAAUAAAAGGAUAAAGAAAACGGGACAAAUUCAAGUCUGAUGACUCAGAUUUAAUCAGUUACUUCAGGAAAAGACAAUUCACAGUGGUUCAUAAAUCUCUUCGUGUGGAGAGCCCUUCAUCCAAAUAGCAGCAGAACGCAUCUGCCUCCGAUUCGCCGGAGCAAUUGCAUCAAGAAUAGCAUUGACUGUCAUUCUCCCUCGCAUGCAGUUGGCUGUUACGCCAUUUUCACAUGCAUGCAGCAGUUUAUAAGGGGAGUUGGAAUCAAGACCUCACAUAACCUAUAUAUUUAAUCAGAUUAUCCAAUUAAAUAAUACUGCCUUAAAUGGAAAGUCUGCGAUUCCCUUAAGCAUUGCUGGGCUUUCGUCGCAUGUUCUUUUGCUUGAAAUGCCUGAGCAGCACUGCAGCUAUUUUUAGACACUGAGAUGUUUGCAAAGCACCCACCACUCUGAUUUCUAGACACCAAUACCACACGUUCCUCAUCAAAUCACAGCAGCCAGAAGCGUGACGUUAAUCUAUCAAGCUACAGGGCAGACAAAAACAACAACUGCAGCUUUGUCUCCUGAUUGUGAGCAAGCACGGGAGGAAGAAGUGCUUGUUUGUCAUGCAGGGAACCCUACAGGGCACUGAGCCGCUGCCCCAAAGCGUGGCCGAACACACCUGGUUGAGGAGAGGCUGUGGGAUGGGUUAUCCUCUGCUAUCCCUGCAACUCCACUCACAGCCGUCCCAAAAUUAUGCUGUGCUACAGGUUUGGCUUUGGUCCCUCCUCACCGUGAGACCAACACCAGAACCAAACCAACCCCUCAUAGGGCUCCAGCCCUUCCUGGGUGGGGAUGCUUCAGGCUUAAGUCUUACCAGGAAGGAAAUGCAAGCAGGGCAAGGUCUCUUAUCAACGCAGAACUUAUCAAGUGCUGGAACUGGACAGGCUGGGAGGAGCUCACAAGUGCAAGGUUGCCGCAGAGCUCUGCCAUGGGGAGCAGUCUUGCAGUGGCAAACCCCGUGAGGGCUGAAAUGCCUCCAGUCACCUCAUCCCGUGGUCCCCUCUCUUGAUAGACGUAGUGCUUUGUUAUUGAUUUAUGGCUUAAUCCAAUGUCUCCAAAUCACUUAUUUAGCAGUGAUCUAACAGGUCACAAACAUGACCAGGAACGUGGCUCGGAGGUGUUCCAGCGUUGUGGUCUCUGGAGCAGCUGAGGUGCAAGGCUGUGGAUCAGCACUGUGCUUGAAGGAACAGACACCAUGUGUUACAACAACACAGUGUUUGCCCAAGGGCAAAAUCAGAGAAUAGCAAGAAAUUCAAUCAGGACCACGCGCUGAGCAGCCCAGCUCAAGGCUAUGCUUGUGCCCUGAGAUGGGACCCUGCAGUAGAGCUCCCCUGGUGCUCAGGGCUCUCCCACCACACCCAGGUUUGGUCUGGAAGCACUGGGAACAGCCACAGAAUGCUUCAUUCAACCACCAGUGUCAGCAGACCCAUCCCAACCCAGGCAGUCACCUCUGCAAGCCACUACAGAGCAGAACCAAUGAUCGCUUUGAUAUCCACUGCCAUUAAAAGGCAAUCUAAAAUUAAUCCAGUGAUUAAAAUAUCUAUUCAGUUUCUCUGCCCUUCCUAUGGCCACGCAGCCCUGGUAAAACAAGCAGGAGGCAUUCCCUUGCACGACAUCACACGGACUAUCCCCAGCCUACAGAGCUUCCUCCUGAGGGCAACUGGGUGGAAAAGGG